This 485-nucleotide long non-coding RNA is filed under the name Anas platyrhynchos platyrhynchos (common mallard). Its description in RNAcentral is "lncRNA (ENSAPLG00000028054.1)". Lineage: Eukaryota; Metazoa; Chordata; Aves; Anseriformes; Anatidae. The record is from RNAcentral.
CGCUGAGUUAAGCUUUCAGGUGCUGUGAAUAGCAGGCUUGGGUUAGCUGAUCCUGGAAAAAGAGUGCCCCGGGUUGUCUGCUGAUUAGUACGAAUAUUUUUCCUUAGGUCAUCAGGAUGGUCCCAGCUGAUAUAUGUGCAAGGUAAAACAUUACAGAGGAGGCCUUUCCUAUGUAACACAUGGGUAUUGUAUAUUUGCCAGGGUUUCCUUACAACGGCCAGCCUGAAACGGGCCUAGCCCUGCCGAGCAGAACUGCCCAGGUCCUGCCGAGGUGGCGCAGGCCCGCUCCUAGCACAGGCGUCCCUGCCAAGAGGGGUUCCAGCUGGAUCAGUUUUACACGACAGGACUUGGACACCUCAGUGUCCUGUCAUGGCUCUGCCCAUCAUGCAGGCCUUGCUUGCCCUCUCCUGCCUCCACCCCUCGGUAGCAGUGGCUGCGAUCACUGCUGCCAGGUUUUCAGCUGUGGUUUGUUACAAGGCAGCUAA